This 23-nucleotide non-coding RNA is filed under the name Cricetulus griseus (Chinese hamster). Lineage: Eukaryota; Metazoa; Chordata; Mammalia; Rodentia; Cricetidae. The record is from RNAcentral.
AAACUUCACAGAACACCAGCUUG